This 234-nucleotide ribosomal RNA is filed under the name uncultured Lactobacillus sp. RNAcentral's name for it is "partial 16S ribosomal RNA". It matches the Rfam family "Bacterial small subunit ribosomal RNA", at positions 128 to 355 of the family's 1533-position model. Lineage: Bacteria; Bacillati; Bacillota; Bacilli; Lactobacillales; Lactobacillaceae. The record is from RNAcentral.
UGCCCAGAGAUCGGGAUAACACCUGGAAACAGAUGCUAAUACCGGAUAACAACAGAUGAUGCCUAUCAACUGUUUAAAAGAUGGUUCUGCUAUCACUCUUGGAUGGACCUGCGGUGCAUUAGCUAGUUGGUAGGGUAACGGCCUACCAAGGCGAUGAUGCAUAGCCGAGUUGAGAGACUGAUCGGCCACAUUGGGACUGAGACACGGCCCAAACUCCUACGGGAGGCAGCAGCU